Molecule: long non-coding RNA, 862 nt
Filed under: Marmota monax (woodchuck)
Lineage: Eukaryota; Metazoa; Chordata; Mammalia; Rodentia; Sciuridae
Source: RNAcentral
AAAAAAACAAAUAACCCAAUCAAUAAAUGGGCAAGGAACUGAACAGAUACUUCUCAGAAGAAGAUACAUAAUCAAUUAACAAAUAUAUGAAAAAAUGUUCAACAUAUCUAGCAAUUAUAGAAAUGCAAAUCAAAACUAGUGUAAGAUUUUAUCUAACUCCAGUCAGAAUGGCAGUUAUCAAGAGUACAAGCAACAAUAAGUGUUGGUGAGGAUGUGGGGAAAGAGGUACAUUCAACAUUGCUGGAGGGACUAUAGAUUGGUAGUCCUACCACACUCCUUGGUCUAUACCCAGAGGUCUUAAAAUCUGCAUACUUCAGUGACACAGCCACAUCAAUAUUUAUAGCAGCUCAAUUCACAAUAGCUAAACUAGGCGUCCUUCACCAGAUGAAUGGAUAAAGAAUAUGUAAUUUAUAUACACAAUGGAAUAUUAUAUAGCCUUAAAGAAGAAUGAAAUUCUGGCAUUUGUGCAUAAAGGGAUGGAACUGGAGAGUAUCAUGCUGAAUGAACUAAGCCCACCCCAAAACCAAAGGCGGAAUUUUUUUCUCUGAUAUUCAAAUACUAAUUCCCAAUAAGGUGGGGUGCUAGGGAAAAAUACAGGUACUUUGAUUUAGACAGAAGGGAGUGAAGGGAAUUGAGGAAGUAUGGGGGUAGGAAUAAUAGAAGAAUGAAUGUGACAUUAUUACCCUAUGUGCAUAUAUGAUUACAUGACCUGUGUGAGUAUACAUUAUGUACAACCAGAAGACUGAGAAAAAUAAUACCCCAUUUAUGUAUGAUAUAUCAAGAUGCAUUCUACUGUCAUGUGUAACUAAUUAAUAAAAUUUUUAAAAAGAAUAAAAACACAAAAAAGAUAUGAGUUAAAUAC